CUCGUCACACUAUCAUUAACUGAAUCCAUAGGUUAAUGAGGCGAACCGGGGGAACUGAAACAUCUAAGUACCCCGAGGAAAAGAAAUCAACCGAGAUUCCCCCAGUAGCGGCGAGCGAACGGGGAGGAGCCCAGAGCCUGAAUCAGCAUGUGUGUUAGUGGAAGCGUCUGGAAAGGCGCGCGAUACAGGGUGACAGCCCCGUACACAAAAGCGCACAUGCUGUGAGCUCGAUGAGUAGGGCGGGACACGUGGUAUCCUGUCUGAAUAUGGGGGGACCAUCCUCCAAGGCUAAAUACUCCUGACUGACCGAUAGUGAACCAGUACCGUGAGGGAAAGGCGAAAAGAACCCCGGCGAGGGGAGUGAAAAAGAACCUGAAACCGUGUACGUACAAGCAGUGGGAGCCCCACCACUAAGCCAGUGGUGAAAUCCACAUACGCAUCCUUUGCUGAGGAUACGGUUAACGGAGCGCAAGCGACGUUCAACCUCAAAAGAAGCAGAGGGGGCUUAGUGGUGGGGUGACUGCGUACCUUUUGUAUAAUGGGUCAGCGACUUAUAUUCUGUAGCAAGGUUAACCGAAUAGGGGAGCCGGAGGGAAACCGAGUCUUAACCGGGCGUUAAGUUGCAGGGUAUAGACCCGAAACCCGGUGAUCUAGCCAUGGGCAGGUUGAAGGUUGGGUAACACUAACUGGAGGACCGAACCGACUAAUGUUGAAAAAUUAGCGGAUGACCUGUGGCUGGGGGUGAAAGGCCAAUCAAACCGGGAGAUAGCUGGUUCUCCCCGAAAGCUAUUUAGGUAGCGCCUCGUGAAUUCAUCUCCGGGGGUAGAGCACUGUUUCGGCUAGGGGGCCAUCCCGGCUUACCAACCCGAUGCAAACUGCGAAUACCGGAGAAUGUUAUCACGGGAGACACACGGCGGGUGCUAACGUCCGUCGUGAAGAGGGAAACAACCCAGACCGCCAGCUAAGGUCCCAAAGUCAUGGUUAAGUGGGAAACGAUGUGGGAAGGCCCAGACAGCCAGGAUGUUGGCUUAGAAGCAGCCAUCAUUUAAAGAAAGCGUAAUAGCUCACUGGUCGAGUCGGCCUGCGCGGAAGAUGUAACGGGGCUAAACCAU
This 1112-nucleotide ribosomal RNA is filed under the name Salmonella enterica subsp. enterica. RNAcentral describes it as "partial 23S ribosomal RNA". It matches the Rfam family "Bacterial large subunit ribosomal RNA", at positions 139 to 1190 of the family's 2925-position model. Lineage: Bacteria; Pseudomonadati; Pseudomonadota; Gammaproteobacteria; Enterobacterales; Enterobacteriaceae. The record is from RNAcentral.